GAUGAACGCUGGCGGCGUGCUUAACACAUGCAAGUCGAGCGAAGCACUUAAGUUUGAUUCUUCGGAUGAAGACUUUUGUGACUGAGCGGCGGACGGGUGAGUAACGCGUGGGUAACCUGCCUCAUACAGGGGGAUAACAGUUAGAAAUGACUGCUAAUACCGCAUAAGACCACGGUACCGCAUGGUACAGUGGUAAAAACUCCGGUGGUAUGAGAUGGACCCGCGUCUGAUUAGGUAGUUGGUGGGGUAACGGCCUACCAAGCCGACGAUCAGUAGCCGACCUGAGAGGGUGACCGGCCACAUUGGGACUGAGACACGGCCCAGACUCCUACGGGAGGCAGCAGUGGGGAAUAUUGCACAAUGGAGGAAACUCUGAUGCAGCGACGCCGCGUGAAGGAUGAAGUAUUUCGGUAUGUAAACUUCUAUCAGCAGGGAAGAAA
This 440-nucleotide ribosomal RNA is filed under the name uncultured bacterium. RNAcentral describes it as "bacterial SSU rRNA". It matches the Rfam family "Bacterial small subunit ribosomal RNA", at positions 28 to 450 of the family's 1533-position model. The record is from RNAcentral.